This is a non-coding RNA of Salmo salar (Atlantic salmon), 54 nucleotides long. NCBI's taxonomy places the organism in Eukaryota, Metazoa, Chordata, Actinopteri, Salmoniformes, Salmonidae. The record is from Rfam.
AAUUCACAUAAUUGUAAGUCGCUCUGGAUGAGAGUGUCUGCUAAAUGACUCAAA